Non-coding RNA from Pelobates cultripes (western spadefoot toad), 215 nucleotides. Lineage: Eukaryota; Metazoa; Chordata; Amphibia; Anura; Pelobatidae. The record is from the annotation of a GenBank genome assembly.
UGGUACUGUACUAAUGAUAUCCCUGGCUGGAUGGGAGCAUUCCAUGUGCUCAGCAUGGUAUCCCUGGUUAGAUGUGAGCAUUCCAUACCUGGUUAGAUGUGAGCAUGGUUCCAUGUGCUCAGUAUGGCAUCCCUGGCUAGAUGUGAGCAUUCCAUGUCCUCAGUAUGGCAUCCCUGGUUAGAUGUGAGCAUUCCAUGUGCUCAGUAUGAUAUCCC